This 350-nucleotide long non-coding RNA is filed under the name Trifolium pratense (red clover). RNAcentral describes it as "long non-coding RNA (TPRA_LNC012229)". The record is from RNAcentral. Lineage: Eukaryota; Viridiplantae; Streptophyta; Magnoliopsida; Fabales; Fabaceae.
UGUAUCAUGAAGAUGUAUCUUUGUUCCAUUACAAGGAUGUAUGUAAACUAACAACAAAUCAUUACCUGAUCUCCAUAUACAAAUUGUAGGAUAUCAGCCUGAAGGUAAACCCCCAAUAUCAUGCACAAACAAGCCCCUUCAGAAAGACAUCUCUAAUAAUGCUACUACAACGGAUAAAUAUCCACCUCCUCGUCGCGUGAGCAUAGAUGAAAUCCCCUUGCUUGUUAAUGACUUCAAAAUUGCUGCAAGAAAUGCCAUAGAAGCAGGUUUUGAUGGAGUAGAGAUACACGGAGCUCACGGCUACUUAUUGGACCAAUUCUUAAAGGACAAAGUGAACGAUAGAGAUGACG